This 440-nucleotide ribosomal RNA is filed under the name uncultured bacterium. RNAcentral's name for it is "partial 16S ribosomal RNA". It matches the Rfam family "Bacterial small subunit ribosomal RNA", at positions 338 to 795 of the family's 1533-position model. The record is from RNAcentral.
CCUACGGGAGGCAGCAGUGGGGAAUAUUGCACAAUGGGGGAAACCCUGAUGCAGCGACGCCGCGUGAGUGAAGAAGUAACUCGUUAUGUAAAGCUCUAUCAGCAGGGAAGAAAAUGACGGUACCUGAGUCAGAAGCCCCGGCUAACUACGUGCCAGCAGCCGCGGUAAUACGGAGGGGGCAAGCGUUAUCCGGAUUUACUGGGUGUAAAGGGAGCGUAGACGGUGCGCCAAGUCUGGAGUGAAAUGCCGCAGCUUAACUGCGGAACUGCUUUGGAAACUGGCGAACUAGAGUGCGGGAGGGGUAAGCGGAAUGCGUGGUGUAGCGGUGAAAUGCGUAGAUAUUAGGAAGAACACCGGUGGCGAAGGCGGCUUACUGGAGCGUAACUGACGUUGAGGCACGAAAGCGUGGGGAGCGAACAGGAUUAGAUACCCCUGUAGUC